This 473-nucleotide ribosomal RNA is filed under the name uncultured bacterium. Its description in RNAcentral is "bacterial SSU rRNA". It matches the Rfam family "Bacterial small subunit ribosomal RNA", at positions 25 to 518 of the family's 1533-position model. The record is from RNAcentral.
CAGGACGAACGCUGGCGGCGUGCUUCAUACAUGCAAGUCGAACGAGAAGCUGGCUUCGGUCAGUGGAAAGUGGCGGACGGGUGAGUAAUAUGUAGGAAAUCUGCCCUAGAGAGGGGGACAACAGAGGGAAACUUCUGCUAAUACCCCAUAUGAGCUUAGUUGAAAUACUAAUCUUGAAAACUCCGGUGCUCUAGGAUGAGCCUGCAUCUGAUUAGCUAGUUGGCGGUGUAAUGGACCACCAAGGCGACGAUCAGUAGCUGGUUUGAGAGGAUGAUCAGCCACAAUGGGACUGAGACACGGCCCAUACUCCUACGGGAGGCAGCAGUAGGGAAUUUUGCGCAAUGGGCGAAAGCCCUGACGCAGCAACGCCGCGUGAACGAUUAAGCCCUUCGGGGUGUAAAGUUCUGUCAGUAGGGACGAAACUUGACGGUACCUACAGAGGAAGCACCGGCUAACUCCGUGCCAGCCGCGGC